CCUACGGGUGGCAGCAGUAGGGAAUAUUGCUCAAUGGGGGAAACCCUGAAGCAGCAACGCCGCGUGGAGGAUGAAGGUUUUCGGAUUGUUAACUCCUUUUUUUAGAGAAGAUAAUGACGGUAUCUAACGAAUAAGCACCGGAUAACUCCGUUCCAGGAGCCGCGGUACCACGGAGGGUGCCAGCGUUACUCGGAAUCACUGAGCGUAAGGAGCGCGUAGGCGGGAUAGCAAGUCAGACGUGAAAUACUAUGGCUUAACCAUAGAACUGCAUUUGAAACUGUUAUUCUAGAGUAGGGGAGAGGUAGGUGGAAUUCUUGGUGUAGGGGUAAAAUGCGUAGAGAUCAAGAAGAAUACUGAUUGCGAAGGCGACCUACUAGAACAUAACUGACGCUGAUGCGCGAAAGCGUGGGGAGCAAACAGGAUUAGAUACCCUGGUAGUC
Molecule: ribosomal RNA, 440 nt
Filed under: uncultured bacterium
Lineage: Bacteria
Description: partial 16S ribosomal RNA
Rfam family: Bacterial small subunit ribosomal RNA
Source: RNAcentral